This 76-nucleotide small RNA is filed under the name Xanthomonas pisi. RNAcentral's name for it is "sX9 sRNA". It matches the Rfam family "Xanthomonas sRNA sX9". RNAcentral also lists the same sequence under 1 other name. Lineage: Bacteria; Pseudomonadati; Pseudomonadota; Gammaproteobacteria; Lysobacterales; Lysobacteraceae. The record is from RNAcentral.
GUGUACCACGCGUACACGGCGGUCCCGCAGCGCCGCUCACGCCCACCUGACGACUGCCCGCGACGUUCUGUUAGCC